GAUGAACGCUAGCGGCAGGCCUAACACAUGCAAGUCGAGGGAGAAGCCCUUUCGGGGGCCGAAACCGGCGCACGGGUGCGUAACGCGUAUGCAACCUACCUUUCACAGGGGGAUAGCCCGAAGAAAUUUGGAUUAAUACCCCAUAAUAUUAUUGGAUGGCAUCAUUUGAUAAUUAAAACUGCGGUGGUGAAAGAUGGGCAUGCGUCCUAUUAGCUAGUUGGAGUGGUAACAGCACCCCAAGGCUACGAUAGGUAGGGGUCCUGAGAGGGAGAUCCCCCACACUGGUACUGAGACAGGGACCAGACUCCUACGGGAGGCAGCAGUGAGGAAUAUUGGUCAAUGGUCGGAAGACUGAACCAGCCAUGCCGCGUGCAGGAAGAAUGCCUUAUGGGUUGUAAACUGCUUUUAUAUGGGAAGAAUAAGGCGUACGUGUACGUUGAUGACGGUACCAUAUGAAUAAGCAUCGGCUAACUCCGUG
Molecule: ribosomal RNA, 478 nt
Filed under: uncultured bacterium
Lineage: Bacteria
Description: partial 16S ribosomal RNA
Rfam family: Bacterial small subunit ribosomal RNA
Source: RNAcentral